Molecule: non-coding RNA, 77 nt
Organism: Seriola aureovittata
Lineage: Eukaryota; Metazoa; Chordata; Actinopteri; Carangiformes; Carangidae
Source: the annotation of a RefSeq genome assembly
GGUCGGUUAGCUUAGCUGGUUAGAGUGUGGUGCUAAUAACGCCAAGGUCAUGGGUUCAAUACUGACCAUACUGGCCA